Molecule: non-coding RNA, 1026 nt
Organism: Triticum urartu
Lineage: Eukaryota; Viridiplantae; Streptophyta; Magnoliopsida; Poales; Poaceae
Source: RefSeq, a predicted model, not a curated record
AUGGUUCUGAUGUGUAAUAGAGGGGGCAAAAGUGUUAUCCAUUUCAUUGUUUCUGUGCAUGUUUACGUUGACCAUCGGUGGCGGGAGGCGGCAUUGCUGGCGGCCGAAGGGGUGCUUGUGGAAGCAGGUGGAAUAGUCGGCAGCUGUGGGGAUUCGUUAUUCUCUGAGGUUGGCGGGCUUGACGCGAGGCUCGAUGGGGCUACGGGAUUGUCAAGCAGGCGGGUGAUUGCUCAACGAUGACUGGAGACGAUCUUCGGUAUUACAACUGGUUUAUACCAAUGGGUUAUUUGCAUCUCAAGUUAAAUUAGUCACUGUUGAUCAACAAUGAGAUGUGGCCAUUGUUUGAUGGAUCAUUGAUGGUACGGAUGUGCAAUGAAACAAUGAUAUACCCACUGUAUUGGACCCAAACACCUUCGUGAAAAUUGUUCUGAAGGGGUUAGCACAAGGAAACUAUUGUUAUGACUUGCGAGGUCUGCUGGAGGUGACCGGAUCCGGACGACUUGAGCAAAGCUGUGAAAAUUCACGGCAAGGGAUGGGGGUACAAGGCAUGGGUCUGCGGCGCCACACCUUGCUAUUCCCUGCCGGUGGCCAGCGAGCUGUGGCGGUGCUUCUCUGUUGCAUGGCGAGGGACUGGGGUGCAAGGCGUGCAUCUGCAGUGCCACUCCUGGGGCAUGCCUCUCCCGCGACAUUGCCGGCAUACACAACAUACCUUACUACACAGGGAUUUCCUCUCUGAACUAAAUAUUAUGUCAGAACUGAAUAUUACGUCCGAAGACUGAAACAUCCAGAAAGCUUAUUGAGACUAUUCAUUGAUGGUGUUUCUCUACUACACGAGGAAGGUAAUUGUCGUUUAUGUGCUUCUUUUCCUAUUUCAAUGCACCAUUGUGUUAUUUUGGUUGAAAAAUUAAAGUUUCUACAUAUUUUCAUGGUUUAUGAAAAGUAGCUGAGAUCCGUUGUUUUAUUCCUACAUAUUGAGGAAAUUCUGGUGAAGCUAAAGUUGGUGUUGUUUCUCUUUUUUUCUGCGAU